RNAcentral lists this ribosomal RNA (465 nucleotides) under uncultured bacterium. RNAcentral's name for it is "bacterial SSU rRNA". It matches the Rfam family "Bacterial small subunit ribosomal RNA", at positions 28 to 507 of the family's 1533-position model. The record is from RNAcentral.
GACGAACGCUGGCGGCGUGCCUAACACAUGCAAGUCGAACGCGAAAGGGGGCUUGCCCCCAAGUAAAGUGGCGCACGGGUGAGUAACGCGUGGGUAACCAACCCCUAGGUGGGGGAUAACGGCCCGAAAGGGACGCUAAUCCCGCAUAAGACCACGAUAGCGCAGGCUAUUGGGGCCAAAGGAGUGAUUCGCCUAGGGACGGGCCCGCGUCCCAUCAGCUAGUUGGUAGGGUAACGGCCUACCAAGGCAGUGACGGGUAGCUGGUCUGAGAGGAUGAUCAGCCACACUGGGACUGGAACACGGCCCAGACUCCUACGGGAGGCAGCAGUGAGGAAUUUUGGACAAUGGGCGAAAGCCUGAUCCAGCAACGCCGCGUGAGUGAUGAAGGCCCUCGGGUUGUAAAGCUCUUUCAGGGGGGAUGAGAAAGGACGGUACCCCCGACAAGAAGCACCGGCUAACUCCGUG